AACGCAGCGAAGGGCGAUAAGCAAUGCGAAUUGCAGAACCGUGAGUCAUCAGAUUUUUGAACGCAACUGGCACUGCUUGGCUAUCCAGGCAGUAUGCCUGUUUGAGUGUCAUGGAAUUCUCAACUUCUAAUACUUUUUUGUAUCAGAAGCUUGGAUUUGGAGGCUCGUGCUGGCUCUCUCGUUAGAGUCGGCUCCUCUUAAAUGAAUUAGCGUGAAUCACUAUGGAUCGCUUCGGUGUGAUAAUUAUCUGCGCCGUAGUCGUGAAGUAUUAAUAAAAGUUCUCGCUUCUAAUCGUCCUUCACGGGACAAUUAACCCUGACUUUUUGACCUCAAAUCAGGUAGGACUACCCGCUGAACUUAA
This 361-nucleotide ribosomal RNA is filed under the name uncultured fungus. RNAcentral describes it as "eukaryotic LSU rRNA". The stretch from base 1 to 111 matches the Rfam family "5.8S ribosomal RNA", at positions 42 to 154 of the family's 154-position model. The record is from RNAcentral. Lineage: Eukaryota; Fungi.